Molecule: ribosomal RNA, 457 nt
Filed under: uncultured bacterium
Lineage: Bacteria
Description: bacterial SSU rRNA
Rfam family: Bacterial small subunit ribosomal RNA
Source: RNAcentral
UACGGAAGGCAGCAGUGGGGAAUAUUGCACAAUGGGCGCAAGCCUGAUGCAGCCAUGCCGCGUGUAUGAAAAAGGCCUUCGGGUUGUAAAGUACUUUCAGUCGUGAGGAAGGUGUUAAGGUUAAUAACCUUAGCAAUUGACGUUAGCGACAGAAGAAGCACCGGCUAACUCCGUGCCAGCAGCCGCGGUAAUACGGAGGGUGCGAGCGUUAAUCGGAAUUACUGGGCGUAAAGGGCACGCAGGCGGUUAAUUAAGUUGGAUGUGAAAUCCCCGGGCUUAACCUGGGAAUGGCAUUCAAGACUGGUUUAGCUAGAGUCUUGUAGAGGGGGUAGAAUUCCAGUGUGUAGCGGUGAAAUGCGUAGAGAUGUGGAGGAAUACCGGUGGCGAAGGCGGCCCCUGGACAAAGACUGACGCUCAUGUGCGAAAGCGUGGGGAGCGAAAACAGGGAUUAGAUACC